CAGCCGCCGCGGUAAUACAGAGGGUGCAAGCGUUAAUCGGAAUUACUGGGCGUAAAGCGCGCGUAGGUGGUUCGCCAAGUUGGAUGUGAAAUCCCCGGGCUCAACCUGGGAACUGCAUCCAAAACUGGCGAGCUAGAGUAUGGUAGAGGGUGGUGGAAUUUCCUGUGUAGCGGUGAAAUGCGUAGAUAUAGGAAGGAACAUCAGUGGCGAAGGCGACCACCUGGACUGAUACUGACACUGAGGUGCGAAAGCGUGGGGAGCAAACAGGAUUAGAUACCCGCGUAGUCCCUGUCUCUUAUAA
This 301-nucleotide ribosomal RNA is filed under the name uncultured bacterium. RNAcentral describes it as "partial 16S ribosomal RNA". It matches the Rfam family "Bacterial small subunit ribosomal RNA", at positions 509 to 809 of the family's 1533-position model. The record is from RNAcentral.